Molecule: long non-coding RNA, 975 nt
Organism: Olea europaea var. sylvestris
Lineage: Eukaryota; Viridiplantae; Streptophyta; Magnoliopsida; Lamiales; Oleaceae
Exons: 2
Source: RefSeq, a predicted model, not a curated record
GCAAUAAUGCUAUGACGAAAGAGACUCCUUCCAGAAAUGCUACAAGAUUUCAAAAUUGAUGAUGUGGCAGAGUUAAAAAAUAAAAUAUUGAAUAGUAUUUACUUUCCCAUUUCUUCUAUUCCCGUCCGCCUCUCCCAUUUUCUCCCAUUUCCGUCCGUCUCUCCCCUUUCCCCCAAAUCCACUCACAAAAUUGACUUUCCCGUUUCCCCCCAAAUCACUCUUCUGCUCGCUGCACUCAUCGUCACCGUUGAUCGGCACUGACGAAGAGCAUAUGACUCGAGCAUCCUCCAUUCACAACCGCAUUCACCUCCAUCCAAGCGAACAAUCUGUGUGUGAACAGUCCUCGACUCUGCACUCACCUCCCUUCACGGUCACACUCUGGCAAUAAUCAGUUAUCGACUAGAAUGAGAGGAAGGAAUUCGGGGUUUUGUCACGGUUGCAGAAGCAACACUCACUACUUUAGACAAUACCAAAAAAACGACGAUGCCCUUCGUGUAAACAAGGAUAUCGAAAAUGUUUUGAGAUCGAAUAGAAUACUAGUAACAAAGGGCGAUUCUUCUUCACUUGAAGUAAUUAUUGUGGAUAUUUUGAUUGGGUGAAAGAAGAAGUUUUAAGCAGGGAGUCGAGUUCUAUUCAUGAAGCGGUGAAUCAUGAGCCCAACGAGGAAGAUGAAGAGUUGCCAAGCAUCUUUGACAAGCCAGCUCGAAUAAGCGAGAAACGAGACGUGGACAUAUCAAUGCACUUGGCUUUUGGCAAGGGAAAAUGAAUUGUGAAGUGUGAUGGGAAAGGAAAGGGUUCGACUUAAACGGAUGAUUUGAAUUUGCUAUGUGGAUUAUUGUCCUUGUACGCUAUAAGAUGUAUGGUUAAUCUUGUCAAAAUAGUUCCAUCGUUUCACAUAUGAUUGUUAUUAGGUUCGCUAUAAUAUAUGUUAUGGUUUCUAGAACUUUAUGAUAUACUUGUUAUCGUUUUUGGAUU